AUGGUACUGCCAGUCCACCUUAUGGCGGCAACGCAAUUGCCGGCCUGGGCGAUCAAAAUCAUCAACCAUCAUUGUCGUAGCUUCAUUUGGAAGGGCGAGGAAGAGAAUAACGGGGGCAAUUGCCUGCUACCAUGGUCUAGGGUAUGCAUGCCCCAGGAGCUUGGCGGGCUUGGAGUUUUGAACCUGAUGUGGUUUGGUCUGGCGCUGCGCUGUAAAUGGCCUUGGUUCCGUUGGGGGGCGGAUGAGAGGCCGUGGCAUGCUUUGCCUGACGUGACGGAGAGGGAGGUCCAGGCUCUUUUCAACACGGCUUGCCGAGUCAAGCUGGGAUCCGGGGAGAUGGCCGGAUUUUGAACAGACCGGUGGCUGGAGGAUGGCAAUCAGGCCUGGACCAAAGACGUCGCAGGCGGGCUAUCGCUACCCGCCAUUGUGUUGUUCCUCAAGGUAUGGGAGUUGGCGGAGAACACAACUCUCAAUGCGGAAGCCAGGGAUACACCGCGCUGGAUGUUGACGGCUGAUGAGCAAUUCUCAGUCCAGAGCGCCUACAGUUUGUUCUUCAUAGGAAACACCCGCUUUGCCUACUCUAAGUCAAUUUGAAAAUCGAAGGCUCCACCACGUUGCAAAUUCUUCAUGUGGCUUGUGGUGCACAAAAGGUGUCUCGCGACAGACAACCUAGAACGACAAAGCUGGCUGUCCAAUGGAGUGUGUCCGCUCUGCCUGUCUGCGCCGAAAGACUGCACUCACCUCUUCGUCCACUGCCCGUAUACCCAACAGGUUUGGUUGCCCUUCAAAGCCUGGACGAAUGCAGAUUUCAUAAUCCCCAACGCUUCUUUCACAUCCACGGAGGACUGGUGGCUGCGGGCUAGGGUGGCAAUCCUGAAGACAGUCAGGAGGAACUUCGAUACGGUGAUCAUCCUGCUGCACUGGAGGGUGUGGAAGGAGUGA
RNAcentral lists this ribosomal RNA (942 nucleotides) under Triticum aestivum (bread wheat). RNAcentral's name for it is "partial small subunit ribosomal RNA". The record is from RNAcentral. Lineage: Eukaryota; Viridiplantae; Streptophyta; Magnoliopsida; Poales; Poaceae.